Molecule: long non-coding RNA, 1434 nt
Organism: Raphanus sativus (radish)
Lineage: Eukaryota; Viridiplantae; Streptophyta; Magnoliopsida; Brassicales; Brassicaceae
Exons: 5
Source: RefSeq, a predicted model, not a curated record
UUAAUCCUAAUCUGUCUGAAGCAAAGAAACGGCCGUCGUCUUCCUUGUCGUGCGACGCCGACGAAUGCCGUUUCAGCCUGAAGAUAGCGAGGCAGCUGCAAGAUUUUUUAGGGUUCUUCUCCCACAAUUAAACGAACAGACUUCUUCUUCGAUCUCUGAUACAACUAUGGAGUUUCGAUAUCUUCAAUCCACGUGAGAACUGCUUUGUGAAUCUUCGACCUGAGGUUAUGUCUUUUUCCUUUCCCUUCUGACCUUCUCCUUCUUCACAACUAUCCACGUUUGUUUCUAGGGUUCAUCGUCCUCUACAGCAAGCUCUGAUACGGCCAACCAACAAUAGAGAGGGAGAGGCUGUAUGAGAUGAGUGUUAGUGAGGAAUCUCUGCGUGGAUCUCAGUUAAUGUUAGAUUCAUCUUGCUCACCAUGGUCACUCUCUCUUCUUCUCUGAAUCUGCUUCUGCUUCAUAUGCGGCAUUGAUACAUAAUCUUUCACAUUAAAUAUUGAAAUGCUUAGUAUCUGUGGUUUGGAUAUUGAGUUCUGAAUUUUGGAGACCUUAUGUAAUUGGAAUUGAAGCUCCUUCUUCAUGUUCUGUCAUCAUCUUUACUGCAAGAGGGUGGCACAUAUCAUAGAUUCAAUCAUUAUGCUUACCUUGACAUUUCUUGGUCUUGUUUCUUCAAUUUAUGGGAUGCAGAUCAUUGUUUACACGUUAGUAAAAACUUUGAAACGUUCUUUAUGCGCUUUCAUAAGUAAGAACUAUCUGGAUCUUUUCCGCUUCUGCAGGCAUGUGAUUUUUGGAUGGAUUUUGGUGAUGUUACAUUCAUCUUGAGCGGAAGACUCCUUCUGCUACAGAAGUAUAUCUCAUGACAGUUCAUUAGCUUCUUCUUUCAUUGAAAAACUUUAAUGUGCUUCUUUGAGCAUUAGUGCAACUACAGACACAUGUGUAGCAUACCAGGAGUUUGUUAAUAUUUGCUUAGGAGAUGGUCUAUGAGAAGUGGUCAGGUCCUGGGAGUUGAUGGGGAGAAAUCAGCUGUCCAGGUAUGCCAUGUCCAAGAAUUGGUAAAUCUGCUCAUGUCUAUCACCAUUGGUGAUGGAGAAAAAUUGAAGCAUCAACACCACUGCAAAAAAGCAGAGUCAGCAGAAGCCGAAGCAAAAGCAGCUCAAGCUCACGCUGAAAAAGCUUCAAAAACACUGAGAGGAUGAAACAUCUGCAAAAUGAGGAGGAAGAAGAAUGUGUUGCAGGUGAAGAAGAAAAAAUGUGUUGCAGGUGAAUAGAGAGAAGCGUAGAAGUAGUGUCUGUUGUUGAUUCUCUUCUUGGAAACUCUUUUUAGUUGUAAGCAUAAUCUCAAAUGCUAGAACUCUUUCUAUCUGUAACAAGUAAUUCUUUAGCUGGAGAAUUUUUGCAGAUUAAAUAUGUGUUAUAUUUGUGAAAUUGGAAAGA